This 261-nucleotide ribosomal RNA is filed under the name uncultured archaeon. RNAcentral describes it as "partial 16S ribosomal RNA". It matches the Rfam family "Archaeal small subunit ribosomal RNA", at positions 748 to 1009 of the family's 1478-position model. The record is from RNAcentral.
CAGCCGUAAACUAUGCUCGCUAGGUGUCAGGCAUGGCGCGACCGUGUCUGGUGCCGCAGGGAAGCCGUGAAGCGAGCCACCUGGGAAGUACGGCCGCAAGGCUGAAACUUAAAGGAAUUGGCGGGGGAGCACAACAACGGGUGGAGCCUGCGGUCUAAUUGGACUCAACGCCGGACAACUCACCGGGGACGACAGCAAUAUGUAGGCCAGGCUGAAGACCUUGCCUGAAUCGCUGAGAGGAGGUGCAUGGCGUAGACGUCU